Molecule: long non-coding RNA, 12664 nt
Filed under: Triticum aestivum (bread wheat)
Lineage: Eukaryota; Viridiplantae; Streptophyta; Magnoliopsida; Poales; Poaceae
Description: long non-coding RNA (TAES_LNC007877)
Source: RNAcentral
AAGGAAAAUGACCUCGUGUGACUCAAUAAGGCCUUACUUUCGAAAAACUAGUCAUGAACUAUGCCUCCGCUUCGAGAAACAUAUGAUGAACCGUGUCUUUGAUUUGUGAAACUUGUGUUGAACUAUGUACUUUAUUUGCGAAACUUGUGUUGAACUAUGUCGUCAACUAUGUCUUUGAUUUGUGAAGCUUGUGUUGAAACUAUGUCAUGAACUACAUCUGUUAUGAUGCUGUUUUUGUUGUCAAUUAGAAAUGAUGAACACGAUGGAAAACAGAGUAAAUUUUAGCUCUGCUUUGCACCCUACCCCCAGAAGCCCCGGCGGUAGGUUAUGACACCCUACCGCCAUAAGGCCUGGCGGUAGGCCACGAAUCCCAACAGCUAACCUACUAGAGCACAAAAUCUCCCCUGUUUUGCGGUAGGGUUGGCUAGCCUACCGCCAAGGGCAACGACGGUAGGGUGACCACCCAAACGGCUGCUCUGCCGUGACCAAAAUAUGCAUUUUUUGGCGGUAGGGUUGGCCACUCUACCGCCGUAGUCCCUGGCGGUAGGGUGGCCACCCAAACGGCUGAUCUGCUGCUUCUCCUGUGACCAAAAUAUGCAUUUUAGCGGUAGGGUUGGCCACGCUACCGCCAUAGCCUAUGGAGGUAGGGUUGGCCAUGCUACCGCCGUAGCCUGUGGCGGUAGGGUGCUGAUCCAUGUCCCACUUCACUUAUUUUAUAUGCUUUUCCUUUCCAUUUCUUACAAACUUCUAUGAACUAAGCAUCCACAAAUGACAUCCACAAAUGAUCGAGUAGCAAAGACAUAAAUAUCUGAGCAUAUAGUUCAUUACAUCCACAAAAUGACACUCUUCUAGCGAUUCAUGUCCCCCUUCUAACGAUUCGAAUGACAUAAGUUCAAACUACAAAUGAUCAAGUAGCAAAGACAUACAUAACUGAUCCAUGUCCCCCUUCUAGCGAUUCAAAUGACAUAAGUUCAAACUACAAAGCUCAAGCUCGAGCAUACAUUUUCUACUUCAGAAAGAAAGAUCUAAAACGCAUAAGACGUUCAAUUUGUGCGUCACGAUAUGAUUAGGCUUCAGUUGAUAAUCCGACGAUCCCGCCCAAUUCUCCAACACACAUUUCGUUUCGCUAAACUAGGCCCGUCGAGCACGGCGUUCCGGAAUCUCUGACUUGCCUUGUCUAAUUGCCCAUCCAAUGACCUGUCCGGGUUUUCUCAAGUCCAGCUCGCGGAAUUCUUCUAUGUUCACAGAGAAAAAGAUCUCCGUUGCCACAGAAUGUGUGCAAGCAUAUUCCUUCUCAUGCAGCUCAUUAAGUAUCUUCUAUUUUUCUUUCACAAGCCUACGAAAAACUUUUCUCUCCUUAAGAUCAGAAGGUUCCUCCAUGAAUGGAUAGUUGUUGAAAUCCAUCAUGGCAGCAAACUUCUCAUCAUUGCUCUUGAACCAUGCUUCAAGCUCCCUCUUGAUACCAAGUUCUCGCUCCGGUACAAUCUUCUCAGACGCUGCCGCCAAACUCUUAGAUGCAAUGCCACAACACUUCUCAUAUAAUUUCGUCAACUGCUCCAGGGUCAUGUUUUCCAUGCUACAUGAAAUGGAACAAACCAUAACUCAAAUCAAAUGAUACAAUACAAACACAAAGCAUAACUUAUUUAUAAUGACCUAGGUUACAUAAUGUUCUCACUGGUUCAAAUGACAUAGGUUGCAUAAAUGAUAAGGGUACAUGCCAUUACAGUCCAAAUGACACUACAACAUCAUUUUUUUCAACCCCCUCUACUACUCCAUCAACAAGACAUCUUUAUUGUACGGCCCGAGGUUGCAACAAAUGACAUCAUUUCUUUCACGGACCCAAGCCCAAUGAGUUACCCGACUAAGUAUCGCCGAUGAUGGUUGCCUAACUAGCCAAUCAAUGAUCUGGCCAGGGUUGUUAAAGUCCAUCUCAUUCACUUCAUCUCUUGUUCCACACAAUGCAAUUUGCCUUGCAAGAGCGCGUCUAUGAUUUUUCUCUUCAUUCUUGAGGUUGCUUAUGUUUUUCUCUUUAGCUUCGUAUAACUUAACUCUAGCAUCGUCGCACUUCGACACAUAAUACUUUGAAAAAUCUCUACAAGCUGCAUUCAAUGCAUCAACGGCUUUAACCCACAAGUCCAUCUUUUCCUCAAUGACUGCACGUUCACGCUUCGGCGCCGCCUCCGCGGAAGUCUCAACAAAGAUGAUCGAUCCCAUCCUACAAGUCGAGGGAUUACUGUAACGGUCAUCAAAGGCAAAAAUCCUAACCAUCUCUUGACAAAAACUAAGACCCUAGGAGUAGAUCGAGCUAUAAUUCGAGAGGUAACUACUCUAACAAAACCCUAACUAAACUAUAAUCAUAACGUUCGUCAUAUAGGCAUUUACUUAAGCAUAACCAUAACCAUAACCUUAACCCUAACAAAACCCUAAAUGAUAUUUCUUACUACCCAAACAAUGCUAGUGACACAAUACAUUGUCAAAGCACAAACAUUACCCUAAAUGCAUCAUUAAUUUCACCACAACAAAACCAUGAACUAGUGAUUCCAACAAAAUGAGCAAAAUGCAUGAUUUGAACCAACCAAAUGAAGGGGGGUGGGGGAGGUACCUUGGGUGAUGCAAAUGGCCUCGAUCCACUAGCCAAAUCUCAAGCAAUGAAGGGGGAUCUAAUGGGUGAUUUGGUGGGGGAGAAGAGGGGGAGAGAGCUUGAGCACGAAAGAAGAGUGGGGUGAAUGAGUGGGUGGGGGAGCAGCUCAGCCCCCUCCCUCCUCACAAUCUUAUCCAGGAACCUACCGCCAGACUGCCCGGCGGUAGGUUGCAAGAGCCUACUGCCAGCGGCGGUAGGUCCCUUUGCCACGUGUACACGGCCGUUAACGGAUAGACGGCGUCAGGCAACCUACUGCCAGGGUGGACGGCAGUAGCAUGUACAACUCUACCACCGGGGUCUACGGCGGUAGCAAAAGGGUCAAAUGUCAAAAAAAUUCAUAACGGGGUUAGAUCUCGAUUUUAUACGUGAAAAAGAUCAAAAUACGAAAUUUUGCCGCAUCGGCUCGGCUCGGGUCGACAUGGUCAUGAAGCAUCGCACGCGACGCACGGCACCAACAAAGAUUCCACAUGGAGUGCUCCCCCUGCCCCCAGUCUAGCACGCCAUGGCCAGAGAAGAAUCGCCUGCACACAUUGACGCUCCUUCAUUGCACCAUUAUUCCCUUUUGCUUUACCGCCUUAAAUCCCGCAAGUGCCGAUCCGCCGUCAGUCCCUGUCGCCGCCGCAGCGUCCAUCCAUCCUUUCUUUCUUUUCCCUCACGGCCUUAACCAGGAAUCAAUCAAAUCCCCUUUGAAUAAAAGAGAAAAAUAUUGGAGUAAUACCACCACGAACUAAUCAAUACUCUUGUGCCGAUCCCACUGGUGGGGGCCCCGCGGCCACCAUUAGUACAGCCAACGAUGAACCAGCCCUCUGACUGGCUGGGCCCUAUCCUGGGGAUCGACCGAAGCAGCCGCGCCGCGCCGUUCCGAGGCAGCCCCGCACGGACGGGAAUGUGACGGGACAGGAAACAAACAGGCGAUCCAUCUGGUCCAUUCCCCUCCACACUCCACCGGCCCGAGGAAUCCGAGGCCGAUCCCACCGAAACCCCCAAACCAAAGCCGGCCGCCGCCGCGCCGGACCUCUCUCUCCCCGCCGCCGGCACCGGCAGCGGCGGCCGUCGACCGCGUACCCGGACCGCGCAGGGGAAUCCGAGCGUGUGGCCCCACGUGGCAGGCAGGAGGACUGACGAAUCGUACCUUUUCUUUCCGCGGUUGGACUAGGGAGGGAGUGGUGGGGCCCUGGGAAGCAGGCUUUCGGGCGACCAUUGGAUCGACCAACACACAGGGAUUAAAAGCGCUCAUAAUUGUUUUAUUUUUGCUCUACUAGUACCGCUUUUACUACCGUGACGAGCUUCUUUUCUCCGGUGUGAUGCUUGUGCCCCCCGCCGGUUUGUUUAAUUGCGUUUGGUCCUUUGGCGACCGGGCGGUGGUUGCAAAGCGUACGCUGAGAAUGCUCCACACAAUGAUGGCCGUGCCCAGUGCCCAGCCUAUAUGUAAUCCAAAAUGUAGCCUUCAGACAGCCGUGCGUCCUCCUCGGAUGAAUCCUUCUCGGAUGAAUGAUAAAUUGUAGCAAUAAUUUGUUUAAAAAUAUUAAAUUUUUGACAUAUAUUAUAAUACUGGUGAAAUGUUGUUUUUCCCAAGCUUUUUAGAACACAUUUUUCGGCCAAGGUAACGAAUGACAUUUUCUUCACAAGAAUCUGCACUCAGAUGGAAAUCACAAACAUGGUUGUUGUGAAAAAAAUAGUUUUUAUUUUUAAACCUAUUUAUUUUGUUAAAAAGUAUUGGGUGGCAUGCCGAAAUCGUAGGGUACCUCACUAUUUAGCACGAAUAUUCCUAUAUUCUAAUAUAAAGAUAAUCAAUUACCGAGUGGCCACACACUUGGAAUACCGUGAGAACAUUUGGGCUAUGUAAGUUGCAAUGAAGAGCAGGGAGGGGUAAUGAACAGGAGAAGAAAAGGUGGAUAACAAAAGAACUAGCCAGAGAGGUUAACAAGAGUCAUACUGGUAAUGUAGCUCCCCGGCGACUUUGUAUGUACGCCUGACCGGAGUUGUGUCACCUUUGUCUUGAUGCUAGUGACGUGAGAUGUGUAAGAAGACGAAGAUUGUGGAAUAGUAGCGACAGAUGACGACGAAGUCAUAGGCGAGCGCAGGAUGCUGAAGACAGAAGAAACAAAUAGCGCGAAGAGCAGAAAACACACAAACAGACACUAGAAUCCCCACGCAUAGAUUUUUUUUAAGUGAAAAGCACCGCGCAUAGAUGAUGUGAUGAAGAUGAGUGACAUGAUAAAGAAGGUGAAGUGGUCCCAUGUCGCUCUGCCGCUAAGUCCAUGGAGCUAACCAUCGCUCCGUACUCCUAAUCCCGUGAUAUUCGCAUGUUGGCACGCCAACAACCUGUCAUUUAUUUUUGAGACACAACAUAGAUAGUUUGUUGUACAGUUUAGGUAUCCAUUAACUACGACAUUUGACUAAACGAGUGAGGAGUAUUAUUGGGCAAUCGGACACUAUAGGAUCCAAAGUACUUGCACUAAACCGGCGCGACAAAUUUUGUGUGUAUGAAAGUAGGAUUAACACAAUGAGAACGCGAGACAAGCAUAAGGUAAACAAUCAAUGAGAAGAUAACAUACCGACAUAAUAAAAAUAAAUAAAAAAUACAGUGACACAUUAACACAUCGCACUGUUCCUAAGCCAUAAGUGCAUGCAAAUACAUUCAACAUGUCCAACCACCAUUGCUAGUACCAGCAGCACAUGUACAUGCCACCACAGUACUCCUUGUAGUACGUACUUCGUUGAAAGGAGUCCAAAACAACCGCGUUGGUACAUUCGGCUGGCUGGCCGGCCCAUGUAAAGCUCCGGACGGCGUGUACGUAGCGAGUCCACCCAGGAGAUAAAAUGGAAGGCAUCACGAGGGGAGGGAUAGAUAAAAAGAUGGCCCGUUUUGCAAGGUUCGGAAAGGAGGUUGGGUGGUACUACUACUGUCCUCGAGUAUUUUUAACACUUGGUGUCUGUUACUUUCUCUCUCUCCCCCACCGGGAAGCAAAGCCAAGGGUGGACAGAUUCUCCCCCAAGUCCCAAUCCCUAAACAAAGCCCAUCCAUUACUCUAAACAAACCGGACCGAGGAGAGAGAAAUACUACAUAAAAACCAAUCGUCCUCAUGAUAACUGUCCCAUAGGAAAUCCGAUCCCCCGGAAUAAUUAUACCAUAUCAUAGCAUAGCAUAGCAUAGCACAGCAGCACACUUGGAAUCGGAAUUGGAAAGAGAGAAAAACGUAGUAGUACCACGAGUCGUCCAGUUCCACACCGGAACCGUGAGAGGGACAGCAGCCGGUGGCGAUGCGUUGGCAGGGGAGGGAGGGGGGGAAUGGUAUAAUAAUACGGGGAGAUGUCUGGGUUGGUGAUUGAUGAGAGAGAAAGCCGGGGGAGAGGGACAGGGCGGGUGAUGGGGAGGAUCAGCAUCAGGGGGGAGAGGGAGAGGGAGAGAGAAUAUCAGAUGUCAACAAAUCUGCCGUCCUUGCGGCUCGUUUAGAAAGAGGGUCCAAGGUGGUUCCAUUCCCAUCCCCCCCCAGAGGAGAGAGGAGAGAGAGAGGCCAGGCCAAACGACGCCAAUCCAAAACCCCCAAAAGGAGCAAGGGAAGAGAGAGAGAGAGAGUGGGGAGUGAGGAGCAGAGAGAGAGCAAACCAAGAUACUCCUACAUCCGCAGACAAGUGGUUCGUUCGUUCGUUCGGGGACGAGGACGAGGACGAGAACGAGAACCCACCGCUUUCUCUCCCUCUUCCUCGCCCUCCCUGGCCCGGCCCCAGCAAAUCCGGUUCCGGCCGAACCCGUCCCGGAUUCGUCGGAGCUCCCAGCGUCCUCCUCCCCGAUCGCCCCCCCUGCCGCCGCCAGAGAGAUUUGCCUCUUUUUUCUAGGACAUAUAGAUAGAUAAAUAAAUAUCCUGCCUUGGUUGGGUUGGGUUGGGCGGGUUCUUGGGCGGCGCGGGGUUUCUUGGGGCAUGGCCGUGGCGGCGGUGCCGGACACGACGCUCGCCCGCCGAAUGCUGCGGGUCGUCAGGCUCAACCCGCUGCAGCGCAGCGCCAAGAAUCCCUGAGGUCAGAAUUUCCUCUCUUUGUACUAGCUGGUCUGGUUCAAUUAAUUAAUUCUGCUCGCGCGCUGUCUGGAUCGUCGAAUCGAGCUAGCACAAUCGAAAGGAGCGGUGUUGAUUUGCUUUCCCGACGUGUUGGAGCUCCAAUCCGGGGGCACCUGGGGGGAUUGGAGCUCCGAUUUCGGACGAAUUUCUCUCUGCCCGACGCCCCUGUCGCUGUCGCCGUCGCCGUCACUGUCUCUUCGUCCGCUCCUGGCCUCCGCCCGACGUCCAGAUCCGGCCGCCCUCCACGCGACACAUCGGCCUCGGCCACCGGCGCCGCCUCCUGCUCAUUGCCGCCCUCCUCCUGUUGUCUAGAUCCGGACGCCUGCCGUCCGUCGCCAUCCGUUCUUCGCUUUCCUCUUUGUACUCCAGGUGUCUGGCUCGACUUUGGCGUCCAGAUCCACUUCCCCUUCUAUUCCCACCUCCGUGCCUGUAGCUACCAUUGUCAGUUCGUCGUGCGAUUGCCUCAGUUUCCCCGUGCGUGCUUGCUCAAGUAUGCUUGCCCAUCUCUGGCCUUUAUUUACAGUUCUUAUCAUCCAAACUGGAGUUGGAAAUGGGUUAAUCUUCUAUUUCCAAGACACUUCGUAAUUCUCCCCUUUCUGAACAAACUGGAAUUUUCCUUGGUGAAACCAAACAUAAAACUUCGAAGUGGACGCAAAUUCCAGUUCAACUGAAAUUGGAAUUGGGACUCUUUGUGUUAUAACUUGUUUGUUGUAAUUUAUUUUGGGCCUUUUAUUAGGUUCCGGGGUUCUUAUUUUCUGUUUUGGUGAUUAGGUCUGUGUGACGUUUCAGUUGGAUUGAACGUGAGAAGUCAAUGAUUGCAUCGGAUGGCCAUAGGUUUCUAUUUUCCACGUUUGGUAAAGAUGAUGAUAUAUCUCUUUAAAAGAACUAGUCCUUAGGAUUUUAUUAAGUUGGUUGAACUAUCGCCGGUUGACUCGUCUUCUCUCCUUUAGUUAUUUCCCGCCCGAUGAAUUUAGAAACAAACAGGUGAAGUGCAUAUUCUAUGCCAUUAUGUGAAUACAGUAUAUAUUAAAAAAUUAGGCCUUUGGUGUUGUUUACUCUGUUGCUGUCUAGGUUUGUUUGAUUAUCGUAGGGGUAGUGAGUUUUUGUCAUGCAUUUUAUCCAUGAUACAUGUAGCAUCUUAUUUCCCAGAUCCUUUGUUAUUACUCACUGCAGUAUUUAUUGGCAGGUUAUUUCUCUUGAAGUGAUAUUCAGAUUGGAAGGUAGUAUUGAUUCACCUGAGCAAGUCAAGCUGUCCAGUUAGCUCAAAGCAUUAAAGAUUGGAAUUUCACACGCGCAUUGCAUUCACACUGUGAUUUCCCUUUGGUGUCCUGUGAUGUGAUGAUCAGUGCUGGUUGCCGUCCGGGUCAAGGGGAAUUUUAGCAUGAUUGCUACAUGCUCAUUGUUUUGGUAAUUUAUCAAUGGAACCCCUAAAUCCUUAGUUGUUUUUGUUUUUGUAAAUCUCUGUUUGAUAUUACUUACUCAGAUGCUAGAUUCUUAGCUCUUCUCAACUUGCUCCCAUGCUCUUAAGUAAAAUAUCUUGCCGAGGAUCUUAAAAGCACUAUCAAAAUUUGUCUGCACUGUGUUAUUUGUUUGGGUGUUGCACUUGGAAAAACCAUUCAACAAGCAGUAUGCUGUACGCUACUUGCUUUCAAGCUUGAAUUUGAUGUAAAAAAAUGUGUUUUCACAUUAUGAUUGUCAACAUGCAAAUGAGGAAAUAAAGUUGCAACAUCUAGUUGACUUUGAUGUUUCUCUUGUAAGCUCAACUUGAUCUUUUUGUUUCUUGUUCAAGGCUUCAAGCAAUGAAUAAUGCAUGUUUGUUAUUUGAAAUAUUUGGGGCUGCUAUUCCAAAAGCUUUACCUUUCGCACCCCACUUUUGUAUAUAAUUCAGCAUCAUUUGACUGGUCUGUUCAACAGACUGUAAUACUAAUGGGAGCUAAAGUGGAAGGUGAGAGUUACAAUCCUGGAUACUAUGCUACAGGGGAUCUGCACAUGGACUCAAAUGGUUGGCGCUCUCCAUACUAUGAGGAUAAGACAUCAAAUGGGCAGUUGUACAAUGGCUUCAUGACGAAGCAGGCAGACGGUUAUUCAGAAUACGACAACGAAACGCUAAAGCGCACAAUGCUUUCACAUGAAGCUAUGUUUAGACAGCAGGUUGGUACCUUGGCAUUAACUACGUAAACAUCUUAAUGCAUGACACGUUACGAAAAGUAUAAACUGCAGGCACACAGCCGAUAUUUUCACUUCCCAUUUUGUGUUUUUCUUUCUCUUAUCUUGUUAACUGAUCAACUGAAAUCAUUAUCCAGGUUUAUGAACUGCACCGGGUUUACAAAAUACAGAGAGACCUGAUGAAGCAUUAUGAAAACAAAGACGCAUAUGCAUACCCAGAACUGGCAGAUGCAUCACAGACAAAUUCGUCAUCACAAGUUCCACCAAAUGGCUCAAAGAUGAUAUGGCAGAUGCCUCUGGUGGCCAAAACAUACGGAGAGGCUACUGUUGCAGUGCACACUGAUACAAACCACUCCUUGAAGUUCCUUAGUGAUGGCAGUGUCCUGCCCUCUCCAAAUGGAUUCCCCUCAAAUGGUGUUGCUUUAAAUACCAAGCAAGGCAUUAUUGACCUUGAGCUUCCAGCUGAUCAUUAUAUAGAUGAUGACAACACAUCAGAUAAUAAGCCUAUAGAUUUCCUUGGUGUAGAUUCGGGUACAAAACCUCCGAAUGAUGCCAGGGUCACAUUCAGUGGUGCAGAAGGCCUGGGGAGGUUCAAUGAUAAUAGCUCAACCUCUGGUUUGCUGACUACCAAUAAACCGGGAGGCUGCCAUGUCGCUGACCUGAAUGAGCCAAUUACUGGGAUGCAUAUGGGUGGAACAAACGGGUCCGUAUCCAGAGCUCUCCUGUAUACCUUGGAGAACUCUUGGCACCAAUCUGCAGUGAGAUCAAGCACAGCUAACUUUGGUUUCAAUAAAGAAUACUCCAAAGAGAAGCAUACUGACGAAGGAACAAGCUCAAAUUUCCUUGAUGCAAGUGCCAAACUAAGACAGGAGGAGAAAUCAUUGAUUGAUAAAGGUAAGGAUAAGCUUCACUUAGAACACCUUUAUUUGCUUCUUUCCUUGUCAUGCUUAUCUUUCUAUGUUUACACAAUAAAUAUCACUAGUACAUGUAUUUACUAUAUCGGUCGACCAAAAAGUCAUUUUGCAUUAAGAGGUAAGGGUUCACUAUGGAAUUUUGGGGGGAUAUAUGGUUACAACCUACCAUCUGUUAUGUGACUUGGAUUUCAUGCCCUCCUAGUACCUAUUAAUACGUAUUAGACAUAGCAUUUCAACUGCAUGUGAAGGUUUUUUCUGUCGCAGUGCAUGUAGAACUCGCUUCCCUUAGCUGUGCAUGUUCCAUAUAUGUUUCCGACCAUUCUUUUUCUUUUUCUAUUUAUGCAUGAUGUGGCAGUGGACUACAUUAUUAUUAUUAUCUUGAGUACUUUAUUCUAUGCUGUUUAUAACCAAUCUGUAGUUCUGUACAAAUCUUGCAUAUUUGGUUACUGCUCUGUACUUGCAGUGUCCUUGAUCCGCUAUAUUGCUUUAAUUCUUUCAGGAAAACAAGUCAGCAACCAAUCUUUUUUUACACCCAGAUACAGCAAUGUUGAUCUGCAAAAAUCCUUCAAAGUUGCUGAUGGGAGAUCUGCAACCAAUGAGUUUAUUUACCAUGGUCAAAACAGUUCAGUUGGAUGGUUUUCAAAAGGUCCUAUGGGAGCAUCUCCCAUCAAUAAUUUUGCUAGACUUGACCAUCCACAUCAUUCAAGUAUUGGUACACCUGUUGCUCCAAUCUCCAUUCCUCACAUAGACCAUCCUUCCGUCGCCUCUCCUAUAGGUUCUUGCACAGUGGACCCAAGGAGCAGUGUUAUCAACAAUGCUUUCCAGCGAGUUCCAAGUUUCAAUGGAUCUUCAACUGUUAAUUCAUACAAGAGUCCUAGUGCUGUGACCCAAAGCAUUGGACCUUCAAUUCAUAAGCUGAAAAGAUUUGAUAAUUUGGAUGGUAGUUACUUUGGCUUUCCACCUGAUCCAUUUUCCGCAUCACGAUCCAGACAACAGGUUGCAAUUUCGAGCGAGUUGGAGCAAAGGAACUGCCUGAUGUUUGAACAUUCAGCAGCACGGCAGUCUCAUGGGUAUCCUCAGUCCACAAACGGCAAGGGCACAAAGAACUUUAAUUUGAAUGAAGCACUGUCAGAUGGUCUGGAAGAGCUUGUAGAACAGGAUGGGAGAUCUGUUGGUAGUUUGCAGCAUAGUAAAGGUGAAGGAUCAGUAUUUGGGAUCUCUUGGCUAAAAAAUAAAGCUACUUGUGCUGACCCAACAGGGCUGGAAAAGCAAAGAAAGAUGCUUGGCCAUUCCAACGGGACUGCAGCAGACACGAAAAUCAACAAUAACUUGACGGGAAUAACACCGAUUGUUUGCAAUUUGUCAGAUUCUGCCUCAACGUCCCUAGGUUGCAGAAUUAAGAUAGAUGAUGCUUCUGAAGGCAUCACUGAUAGAACUUGGCUGGUAUGUAAUAAGACUGAGGAGAGUACCACGAGACAUUUACCACUUUCAAGCCAGAAACCCUUGGAUAGAGAUGGACAAGCUGCUGAAGGUGUUGUCAACAAAAGUGGUGCGGCCGUCGUCAGAAAUUUGUUUGAUCUGAAUGAUGAUGUACCACAUGAAGACAACUCAGAGUCAUCAGUAGUGUCACAUGAAUGUGAUGUGGCGGCCUUACAGAACAACCAUGCUAAGCGCACAUUUUUGUUUGACUUAGAAGAAGUGCCAGCUUGUGAAGAUGGUGCUGCCUGGACUUCUCAACAGGAAUGCACACCUUCUGGCAAACUUGGUGCAUCCAAGGAAGUUGAUUUGUGUUUUCCAUCCGCUACAGAUGCAGCGCAGAUUAUUCUUGCGUUGUCAACGGAUGUGCCGACCACCACAGGCACACCCGAUGAUAUGUUGCAGUGGUUUGCGGAGCUCGCAAUAUCAAACAUGGAUGACCAUGCCGAGCAAGCAAAAGUCCAGGGUUGCAUCGAUAAUUCCAGUGAUGAUGGUUCAGACUCAUUUGAAGCCUUGACACUGAAGCUGGAAGAGUGCAAGACCGAUGAGCGCUGGACCAGGACACCAGAACCACCACUGACAGAUGAUGACCAAGCUGUUUCAGCGGUGAACCUGCUGUCCAAGCCAAAAAGAGGACCGCAAAGGAAGCGGCGGCAGAAGCGAGACUUCCAGAAGGACAUCUUGCCCGGGCUUUCAUCGCUUUCCCGGCCUAAGAUCAUAGAGGACAUUCAGCUAAUUGAGGGGUUAGUACAGGCAUCUGGUGGAUCAUGGGAGUCGAGUUUAACCAGGCGAGCGCGUGGUGGGCGAACAAGAGGUAGAAAGCCCCGCAAAAACGAGCCAGCUACCGUAGAGAUAGAAGCCGAGGCCGAGGCGAGCCCGCCCUCGAAACCCAACUCCAUUGGCUUAGAAGCUGAUGAAAGGGGCAUGGUUAGCUGGGGGCGAACAACAAGGCGGUGUCGCAAGCCAAGAUGCCCGUUGGGCAAUAGCGUCGCCGCUUCGUCCUGAACGACCUCUGAUACUGGUCGGUUUCGGAUUCAGAUUCUCCAUCAGAGAUUGCGGUGGACUGGUAUAAAGGUAAAAAAAAAUAUCACAGCCAUGAGUGUGCAUACUCUGCUGGCCUGUUUGGCCGGCCUCCCCCCUGCAGAGAUUUCAGGUCGAAACAUGGUGUACAUUUUUUUCUAUAAUAAAUUCUUAAACUAGUCUAUAUAUGACAAUUUCUGUAACAGCGUUGUAUUAAGCUGGGUCCAGGGCCUGAGCUGAGAGGCCUGCUGUAAUUCUUGAGAUAGUGGCGAGGUACCUUGACUGGCCGGUACUCGGAAAUCAAAGAGGCUAAUCGGUGUAGUUCUAUAUAGUUUUAUCAUGUUUUGUUUUGUGUUUCUGUAUGUAAGUUUCUGUGUUUCUGUAUGUAA